UGCAGACGGAACAUUCCUCAUUCACAUACCCUGAAGGGUUCCAAGUCAUAUCUAUAAUAAGGAUUCCUACUCUGAUAAAUAUGCUGCCGUUCAUAAUUCCGAGGUUCAAUCACUUCUUUUUCAAGCAUCUUCCAUCGUUCAUAAAAAGGCCUCUCUAUAACAGACAUGUGGUUAAUUGCCAUCACAUCAUAGAUGAGGUAUCUUCUCUCCUGCUUCUGCGAUUCCGGCAUAGUAUCAAUAAUCAUCUCCCCAUCAAGCAAGGUAUAGUGAUGCGUCUUAUCAGCUAAAACUUCAUUUGUCCCUCUGCAAGGAAACCUCAUCUGGACCCUUCGAAAAUUAAAACUCCUAUCAAUCAAAUAACA
Molecule: unclassified non-coding RNA, 362 nt
Filed under: Hevea brasiliensis (rubber tree)
Lineage: Eukaryota; Viridiplantae; Streptophyta; Magnoliopsida; Malpighiales; Euphorbiaceae
Source: RNAcentral